RNAcentral lists this RNase P RNA (396 nucleotides) under Planctomycetota bacterium. RNAcentral's name for it is "RNase P RNA component class A". It matches the Rfam family "Bacterial RNase P class A". From Rfam's summary of the family: Ribonuclease P (RNase P) is a ubiquitous endoribonuclease, found in archaea, bacteria and eukarya as well as chloroplasts and mitochondria. Its best characterised activity is the generation of mature 5'-ends of tRNAs by cleaving the 5'-leader elements of precursor-tRNAs. Lineage: Bacteria; Pseudomonadati; Planctomycetota. The record is from RNAcentral.
CGAGAGGCUGGGACAGUCGCUCCGGUGGGACCCUCGGGUUCACACCGGGGAGGAAAGUCCGGGCUCCGCGAGCCAUGGUGGUUGUUAACGGCAACCGACCGCAAGGCCAGGGAAAGUGCAACAGAGAGUAGACCGCCGAAUGGACCGGGUUCGCCCGGUCGAUGGUAAGGGUGAAACGGUGCGGUAAGAGCGCACCAGCGCCCCCGGAGACGGGGGCGGAUCGGUAAACCCCACCUGGAGAAAGGCCAAAUAGGGAGGGACCAGCGGCGCGGCUCGCGUCCAUGUCCUUCCGGGUUGGCCGUUUGAGGCGGGCGGCGACGCUCGUCCCAGAGAAAUGACUGUCGCCUGCCCCCUCGGGGACAGGUACAGAACCCGGCUUACAAGGCCUCUCGCGCC